GGAUGUGAAGGCAAUCUGGCUGCAACUCUGUCACCCCACUGAUUCCCAACGUUGAUUCAGCUGAUCUGGCUGGCCAGGUGGGCGUGCCCUUCCUCCCUCACCACUCAGUCUCUUCAUAAGCUGUGCUCUCAGUUUAAGAGGACAUCCUUCUCCGAAUAGAGAUGGAGCAUUUUUUGGUCAAGAGCAUACAAAUAGUUACGCUCCCCUGCUAGAGACUCCAAACAAGCUCUUGAGAAGACUGCAAACUUAGGCCACUGUUUGGAGCAAGGGGGAUAGACCAGUUAGG
This 286-nucleotide small nuclear RNA is filed under the name Sorex araneus (European shrew). RNAcentral describes it as "7SK RNA (ENSSARG00000017737.1)". It matches the Rfam family "7SK RNA", at positions 1 to 277 of the family's 331-position model. Rfam says of the family: 7SK was discovered as an abundant small nuclear RNA in the mid-70s but a possible function has only recently been suggested. Two independent studies have found that 7SK RNA binds the CDK9/cyclin T complex (known as elongation factor P-TEFb). The record is from RNAcentral. Lineage: Eukaryota; Metazoa; Chordata; Mammalia; Eulipotyphla; Soricidae.